RNAcentral lists this ribosomal RNA (386 nucleotides) under uncultured bacterium. RNAcentral describes it as "bacterial SSU rRNA". It matches the Rfam family "Bacterial small subunit ribosomal RNA", at positions 30 to 416 of the family's 1533-position model. The record is from RNAcentral.
AUUGAACGCUGGCGGCAUGCCUUACACAUGCAAGUCGAACGGCAGCACGGGAGCAAUCCUGGUGGCGAGUGGCGAACGGGUGAGUAAUAUAUCGGAACGUGCCCAGUCGUGGGGGAUAACGCAGCGAAAGCUGUGCUAAUACCGCAUACGAUCUAUGGAUGAAAGCGGGGGAUCGCAAGACCUCGCGCGAUUGGAGCGGCCGAUAUCAGAUUAGCUAGUUGGUGGGGUAAAAGCCCACCAAGGCGACGAUCUGUAGCUGGUCUGAGAGGACGACCAGCCACACUGGAACUGAGACACGGUCCAGACUCCUACGGGAGGCAGCAGUGGGGAAUUUUGGACAAUGGGCGCAAGCCUGAUCCAGCAAUGCCGCGUGCAGGAUGAAGGCC